GAUGAACGUUGGCGGCGUGCCUAAUACAUGCAAGUCGAACGAAGACUGUAGUAAUACUGUCUUAGUGGCGAACGGGUGAGUAACGCGUGGGUGACCUGCCCCGAAGUGUGGGAUAACAGUUCGAAAGAACUGCUAAUACCGCAUAAUAUCCAAGAGAUUAGACGCUUUUGGAUUAAAGGAGUAAUUCGCUUCGGGAGGGGCCCGCGUCCCAUCAGCUAGUUGGUAAGGUAAUGGCUUACCAAGGCGAUGACGGGUAGGGACCUGACGAGGGUGGCCCCCCCAAAUGGAACUGAAACACGGUCCAUACACCUACGGGUGCAGCAGUAGGGAAUAUUAGUAAUGGGCGAAAGCCUGAACUAGCAACGCCGCGUGUGCGAAGAAGGCCUUCGGGUUGUAAAGCACUUUUUGAGAGGAUGAGGAAGGACGGUACUCUCAGAAUAAGUCUCGGCUAACUACGUGCCAGCAGCCGCGGUAAGAGGUGUGUGUA
This 487-nucleotide ribosomal RNA is filed under the name uncultured bacterium. RNAcentral describes it as "bacterial SSU rRNA". It matches the Rfam family "Bacterial small subunit ribosomal RNA", at positions 28 to 535 of the family's 1533-position model. The record is from RNAcentral.